CCUCGCUCAUCGUUUCCCUUCGUUUUCUCCGCCGUCUCCUUGGCUUCGCCCCUGGUUUCUUCCUAGGGUUUUAUGAAGCGAUCUGCUGAUUCGGAUCCCUCCUUUACGUCGCCUAAUGCUGUUUGUUGAUUGCUUCUGAUCUCCUUCCAAGGUUUGUUUUGUUUCGCCUGAAUAUGCCCAAUUUGUUUUGUUUUGCCCGUUUCAGUUCGUUUCAUUUCAUGAGCCCGUUCUCUCCUGUUCGCUAGUUUCGAUCUGAUUGAUUAGCUAGGCUAUUAACAAGAUAACCUCCAGAUACAUCUAACUUUAUUCGUUGUGAUUAAUUUGUUAAUAGUCUGUUGUUCUCAGUUCUGACAUUUAGUAUUCAGUCACCUUUGUCUGACUAGCAUUUCUUCUCUGAAGCUCUUGGCAUGAAAGCUUUUGUCUAACUAGCAUUUAGAAGAUUGACCAAGAGAAAUAUAUAUCUGAUGUUUUGGGUGACAUAAUUGAUAGUUCUGAUUCUAGGGGUUGCAUUAUCUAUAUAUUAAUCUGAGAGUAUAUAAUGUUUCUACAUACUUCACCACAAGCAUGCCUUGUUUCAGGGUGUUGUUUUUAUGAGGUUUAAGCAAGACUAAGUUUCAGCACUUGUUGCUGACCCGCCGUGCUGCUUGUUUUAUCUUCUGCUCUGCAAGUUAGAUAUCAUGCUGCUGAUUCCUGCUAGAGUUUUGUGUUUCAAGUUUUCCCAAGAGAAGUACAUAUCUGGUGUAGUCAGUCUUUUCAAAAGCAUAUUGUCUGCCAUUCUUCUUCACACUGCAUGAACUUACUUGUUUCCAAAUAAUUUUGGAAUGUUUCAAACAUCUAAACAUUUUUUGUGUAAACAUUUCUACGAGAACACUCUGAAAUGUUUUCAAAUAAUUCUAGAAUAUUUUGAUUAUUCAGAACACUUUGAAUUGUUCUCAAACAAUUUCAGAAUUUAUGAAACAUUUAUAGCAAUUUGAAUUGUUUGACAAAUAUUUUUUGUGUAAACAUUUCUAGGGGAACACUUUGAAAUGUUUCCAAAUAAUUUGAUUAUUCAGAACACUUUGAAUUGUUAUCAAACAAAUUCGGAAUAAGUGAAACCAACAAUUUGAAUUAUUUGAUGAAUAUUUUUUGGGGAACACUCUGAAAUGUUUCCAAAUAAUUCUGGAAUGUUUCAAACAUCUAGGAACAUUCUGAAAUGUUUACAAACAUUUCAUAAAGUGCAAAACCUUUCUUGGGAACAUUUUUGUUACCAAUAUUCGAAACACUUUGAAUUGUUCUCAAACAAAUUUGGAAUUUGUGAAACAGACAAUUUGAUUUGUUUGAUGAAUAUUUUUUGGGUUUAGCAUUCAUCUGUUUUGUAUCUAUUUUUGAGAUUCAUCAGGUAGCCCAAAGUUUAGCGUUUAUAUAGAUUCUGUUAUCGAUCCAAUUCUUUUUAGUGUACGCAUCCGAGUCCAGUACUUUUCUGUGUACAAAAUGUGUCUCAAUUCAAGUAUGCAGUUAGCUAGACACUCAUUUGGAACCAUUACUUUUUUAUUUAUGAAUUGUAUAUAAUUUAAAUUAGUGGUUAGCUAUCUACUUAUUUGGGUGAAAUUCUUUUUUAUUAUGUUUGAGAGAUAUAUCUCUUUAUUUAUGCUCCUGGACACAUGCAUUUGUUCCAAAGUUUUUUAGCUCUAUAGAUUCAUUUUUUCUUGCUCGGUUCCUACUUCCUAGCGUUCAUGGCUGUACCUAUACCAUAAAUCUCCCGGUUGAAUAGCUUUAUACAUCCAUUUUUUUACCAUCCCCCCAGCCUGCUCCUGAAGUUGUUUCUAACUUGUUGCUUUUGUUUUUUUAUUAGUUGUCUCUGCACUGUGCUAACAGUUAUGGAUCAUUUGAAGAAUCAUUUUUCCACUAAACGGUUUAAAAAAGUUAUCGAUUCUCUAUCAGAAGAUUAAAAAGGUUUUGUUGUAAAGAAUGGUUUUCAAAGUAUUUUGGCUAUCCGCAAGUUCAGUGUUCCGUUGCCUUUUCUUGAAUGGGUGAUGGGUCUGCUUGUCAUUGAGCCUUAUCAGUUUAUGCACAGAGGAUAGAUUUUCAGGUUCACCAGAUUUAUGGUUCAACAAAUCCUUGGUAUUCCUUCUGGAGAUAUUCCAAUUAAUCUUCUCAAUAGUUCCAUCAAAUCAUGUGAUCAAGCAGUUCAGUGUAAUCCAAUCUUUUUAGUUUCACCAGAUUUUGAAAGAUGAUUUAACUCCUGGAAUCACAAAUGCAAUGGGAUAUGAUACUGAAGCAAGCAUUGAUGUAGCAGAAAUUGAUUGCAGAGUUAAUUCCAAAAAGGAAGGCAAGAAUGGGUUCCAGUACGAUUGACAGGAAGAACAGGGAGAAGAGAGCAGUAAUCAUAUUUGAUGAUGAUAAUGCAUGAUACCAACAUGUGGAUACAUGCAUUAUCAUUUUCUUAAUUUUUACAAUUUUUGGUGGUCUAAUUCAUCAUGUUUUUUUGUUGUAGGGCCUACCAUGAAUUCUGAAGCCAAGCUUUUUAUGUUGUUGCACCUCAAGAAUGUGUCAAAAUAACUGGGUUCUAUGAGAUGAUACUUUUUGCUGUUCAAGUAGGUUACAUAGGCUUAAGUUUUACAUGUGUCUGCAGCUCUAAAAAACUAAGCUCACUGUUUAUUACUCUAUUUCAUUAUAGAACCUUUUCUCUUGUUCGAUCUUUCUUAA
Molecule: long non-coding RNA, 2685 nt
Organism: Panicum virgatum (switchgrass)
Lineage: Eukaryota; Viridiplantae; Streptophyta; Magnoliopsida; Poales; Poaceae
Exons: 2
Source: RefSeq, a predicted model, not a curated record